Molecule: long non-coding RNA, 1259 nt
Filed under: Pan troglodytes (chimpanzee)
Lineage: Eukaryota; Metazoa; Chordata; Mammalia; Primates; Hominidae
Description: long non-coding RNA NONPTRT006811
Source: RNAcentral
CUUUCUGAUGAGUUCUCAGGUUUUGUGUUUACCGUCCCCAGACAAAACCAAACUUUGGCACUUAAACUUUAAUUCUUCCCCUCCCCAUUGGAAAGCAGGAGACAGUAGAGCUUGUAAGAUGAAAGGUGUUGCACAGCGUGGAUAUGUUCCCAUGGCCUGUUGUUGCUUCAAUCAGCCUGCGUGGGGGCCUUUACCAUAGCCUUCCUCUUCUUAGGCCACCUACAAGUGGCUUGGAAGCGAAUGCUCCAGGCUCCGUCCUGCCUUUCCCUUGGGCAACUCUCUACCUCCCAAGAUGUCCUCCGUUUCACCUAGGGCAUGAAAGUUGGUCUUCACCCAAUAAGUAAUUUUUGCACACCUGUAUUUUUGCAGGAGCGGCUGUGGAUGCAGCCCUGGGCAAGGACAGCAGAUGUUGCAAGCAGACAAUCCGGGACUUCCGGAAGAAGUGUUAAUUCACCUAGGAUUUGAGGAUGGGAUAAAUUAGUGGGAUGAAGAAUGGGUUAGGAGCAUUCUGAGCUUAGGGGACAGCAAGAGUGAAGCCCUCGAGGUCUGAGAAAUUGCAAGCGUAUUCCAGGAUGUGUCUGCAGAUGAUGAGAUAGGUCUUCCUGGGUCUCUGCUUCUACUCUUCUGUCUCAAGGAGCUGAGAGGGGAAUGGGGCCAAGAAAUGGGACCCAGUUUCUUAUGGCCACUGAAGCGCUGUAUUUCCUUCUUAGCUUCCUGGAUAAGCAGGUACAGCUUACAAACACAUGUGGGCCCUGUGUCGAUGGAGAGGACAGCUUAUGAACCCCUGGGCUCUAUUUCCUAGUCUGUCAAACAAGGAAGUUGGGCUUGGUGACCUCUCUAAAUUCGUUUUCCAGUUGUGAAUUUCUGUGAAACUAUAGAAUUGCCUUGGCAUAAUGAUUUUAAAAUGGUCUAGAUAUUUUGGGCCAGCUUGGCUGUGAUUCAUAAUGCAUAAUUCAUAAUGUGUUCUGCACGUCUCUUUUUGUUCCACUCUCAUCUCUCCAAUUCGAACUUUUAUUACUUGAGCAUUGCUUUCAUAAAGCCAUUUCCAUGCUCAGAGAUACUCCUCAGUUCCCCCAGCCUCUGAACCUGGAGUUGAACACCCACUGCCCCCCUUCUCCAGGCACCUCGCCCACUGUAUUUCAUCCCAAGAUAAUUUAUUUAUAAUUUAUUCUAAUUCUUUUGUAUGUUUAAAAGUGGCAUUUAAUCACCUGGAAAGUAUUCUCUCUGUAUCCUUGUGUUCUCCUUGCUCUGCCUUAACC